This 659-nucleotide ribosomal RNA is filed under the name uncultured fungus. RNAcentral describes it as "eukaryotic LSU rRNA". It matches the Rfam family "Eukaryotic large subunit ribosomal RNA", at positions 24 to 664 of the family's 3401-position model. Lineage: Eukaryota; Fungi. The record is from RNAcentral.
CCCGCUGAACUUAAGCAUAUCAAUAGAGCGGAGGAAAAGAAACUAACAAGGAUUCCCCUAGUAACGGCGAGUGAAGCGGGAACAGCUCAAAUUUGAAACCUGGCGUCCUUAGGGCGUCCCGAUUGUAUUCUAGAGAAGCGUCUUCCACUCUGGUCCACGUAUAAGCGUCCUGGAACGGGCUGUCAUAGAGGGUGAGAGUCCCGUCCUUGACGUGGGCUACCAGCGUUUUUGUGAUGCGCUUUCUAAGAGUCGAGUUGUUUGGGAAUGCAGCUCAAAGUGGGUGGUAAAUUCCAUCUAAAGCUAAAUAUUGGCCUGAGAUCGAUAGCGAACAAGUACCGUGAGGGAAAGAUGAAAAGCACUUUGAAAAGAGAGUCAAACAGUACGUGAAAUUGCUGAAAGGGAAACGCUUGAAGUCAGUCGCGAGACCUGGAAUUCAGCCCCGCGUUUGUAGUGUGUACUUUCCAGGGGGCGGGCCAACAUCAGUCUUGACCGGCAGAUAAAGGCUGGGGGAAUGUGGCUCCUUCGGGAGUGUUAUAGCCCCUGGUCACAUAUGCCGGUUGGGACUGAGGAACGCAGCGCGCCCUUGUGGCAGGCCGUCGGGCACUUUCGCGCUUAGGAUGUUGGCAUAAUGGCUUUAAUCGACCCGUCUUGAGACACGG